RNAcentral lists this long non-coding RNA (433 nucleotides) under Salvator merianae (Argentine black and white tegu). RNAcentral's name for it is "lncRNA (ENSSMRG00000001333.1)". Lineage: Eukaryota; Metazoa; Chordata; Lepidosauria; Squamata; Teiidae. The record is from RNAcentral.
UUGAAAGAGAUAAUGAGCUUCAAAGGGAGAAGGCAAAAGAAAAUGAAGAAAAGUUCUUUAAUCUUCAGAAUGAAUAUGAGAAGGUACAAGCAACUUGGAAAAACAAGGUUGAAGGUAGGGCCAUUGAAAGUGAAAUGCUCAGGGCCCAUACAGAGAACAAAUAUACACAAACAACAACUGAAGUGUCUAAUGAUCAAAAACAAGAAGAAACUGAAGUAAAAGGUAGUUUGGUUUGCCCGUUGAAUUUGGAUGAAAUGGAAACAGAACAAAAGCAAGCUGAUAUAUGUUCAGGACAAGAACAUUCAAUUACUAUUGAAGAUUCAGAAUGCUAUCCUGUUUGCCCUGCCAGGAAGAAACGAAGAGAGACUUCUGUAGACAAAACCUUCUGUACAGUUGAUUUCACUACUCCAGAACUGACUAAGGGUGAAGAAAC